AGAGUUUGAUCCUGGCUCAGAUUGAACGCUGGCGGCAUGCUUUACACAUGCAAGUCGAACGGCAGCACGGGGGCAACCCUGGUGGCGAGUGGCGAACGGGUGAGUAAUGCAUCGGAACGUAUCCUUGAGUGGGGGAUAACGCAGCGAAAGUUGUGCUAAUACCGCAUAAGCUCUGAGGAGGAAAGCGGGGGAUCUUCGGACCUCGCGCUAAGAGAAGAGCCUACGUCUGAUUAGCUAGUUGGUAGGGUAAAGGCCUACCAAGGCGACGAUCAGUAGCUGGUCUGAGAGGACGACCAGCCACACUGGGACUGAGACACGGCCCAGACUCCUACGGGAGGCGAC
RNAcentral lists this ribosomal RNA (342 nucleotides) under uncultured prokaryote. RNAcentral's name for it is "bacterial SSU rRNA". It matches the Rfam family "Bacterial small subunit ribosomal RNA", at positions 8 to 352 of the family's 1533-position model. The record is from RNAcentral.